GAAUCUACAGCCCCCAAAAAAUAAGAUUUAGUACAAUUCCUUAAUCGUACACAGUAGUACAAGCAAGCAUUGUACUGCUUUCAAACCAAAGACACGACCAAAUGUCUUAUAAAUGAUAUUUGUGUUUAUCUCCAUGGUAAUAGAAAUGAGCAAGGAGAUAUUUUUUUCCCCUGGGUUUGAAUGAACAUCAUUGAGUGCAUCGUUGAUGUAAUUUUACUUAUUUUAUUCCAUUGUUGAAUUAAUUAAAGAAGUAUAUAUCAGCGUUGCAUUCAAUUAUGUUUUUCUAAUUUUCAGGAAAUACAAAAAAAAUGAAAAAAAAAAAUCACUUAAAAGACCUUGAGAGUUCUUUUGACUCCAACAUUUAGUUUCUAUUAUUUUCGACUCCUACAACAAACUUUCACCAUACAAAAUAAUGAAGAAAACACCCAAAAAGGUUUGAAUGUGUGAGGUUAGUCUCAUUUUUAAAAUAGUGACUUGUUUUUUUUAAAAUGUUUUUUAAGAAUGUUUUUUCAGCUUUUUAUUUUAUUUUAAACCUAAAGGUAGCGUGACUAUUGUGGAGAAAUAAAGAAACAUAAGAAAAAAUAUUUUUGGUUUAUAGUAAGAUGUUGUUUUAAAAUAUAUAUUUAAAAACAAUGUCACUAUUUUAAACGGAAUAUAGACAUUUUCUAUUAAUGAGAUUAACGUCGAGCAUUUGAAUUUCUAGAUUUUUUUCUAAGUUAUUUUGUAUGUUGAAGGUGUAUUGUAGGAAUCGGAAACAUCAAUUUUCAAGAUUUUUAUAAGACUUUAAUCUUUAUCAGUUUCAGAAUAUACAGUGUGGG
RNAcentral lists this precursor RNA (818 nucleotides) under Arabidopsis thaliana (thale cress). Its description in RNAcentral is "Ath-MIR397b-857 polycistronic noncoding RNA". The stretch from base 178 to 284 matches the Rfam family "MIR397 microRNA precursor family". The record is from RNAcentral. Lineage: Eukaryota; Viridiplantae; Streptophyta; Magnoliopsida; Brassicales; Brassicaceae.